AGUGAACGCUGGCGGUAGGCCUAACACAUGCAAGUCGAACGGCAGCACAGUAAGAGCUUGCUCUUACGGGUGGCGAGUGGCGGACGGGUGAGGAAUACAUCGGAAUCUACUUUUUCGUGGGGGAUAACGUAGGGAAACUUACGCUAAUACCGCAUACGACCUACGGGUGAAAGCAGGGGAUCUUCGGACCUUGCGCGAUUGAAUGAGCCGAUGUCGGAUUAGCUAGUUGGCGGGGUAAAGGCCCACCAAGGCGACGAUCCGUAGCUGGUCUGAGAGGAUGAUCAGCCACACUGGAACUGAGACACGGUCCAGACUCCUACGGGAGGCAGCAGUGGGGAAUAUUGGACAAAGGGCGCAAGCCUGCUCCAGCCAUACCGCGUGGGUGAAGAAGGCCUUCGGGUUGUAAAGCCCUUUUGUUGGGAAAGAAAAGCAGCAGGUUAAUACCCCGCUGUUCUGACGGUACCCAAAGAAUAAGCACCGGCUAACUUCGUG
RNAcentral lists this ribosomal RNA (492 nucleotides) under uncultured bacterium. Its description in RNAcentral is "partial 16S ribosomal RNA". It matches the Rfam family "Bacterial small subunit ribosomal RNA", at positions 29 to 507 of the family's 1533-position model. The record is from RNAcentral.